This 459-nucleotide ribosomal RNA is filed under the name uncultured bacterium. RNAcentral describes it as "partial 16S ribosomal RNA". It matches the Rfam family "Bacterial small subunit ribosomal RNA", at positions 338 to 795 of the family's 1533-position model. The record is from RNAcentral.
CCUACGGGAGGCAGCAGUGAGGAAUAUUGGUCAAUGGGCGGAAGCCUGAACCAGCCAAGUAGCGUGCGGGAUGAAGGCCCUACGGGUCGUAAACCGCUUUUGCACGGGGAUAACACCAUCCACUUGUGGAGGUCUGCAGGUACCGUGCGAAUAAGGGCCGGCUAAUUCCGUGCCAGCAGCCGCGGUAAUACGGAAGGCCCGAGCGUUAUCCGGAUUAAUUGGGCUUAAAGGGAGCGUAGGCGGGCGUUCAAGUCAGCUGUAAAAUCGCGCGGCUCAACCGCGCCCCGCAGUUGAAACUGGACGCCUUGAGUUCACAACAGGCAGGCUGAUUUCGUGGUGUAGCGGUUCAAUGCAUAGCUAUCACGAGGCACCCCGAUUGCGAAGGCAGCCUGCCGGGGUGCGACUGACGCUGAGGCUCGAAGGUGCGGGUAUCAAACCGGAUUAGAUACCCGAGUAGUC